UCCGUUGUGGUUCAGUGGCUAAGACUCUGUGCUCCCAAUGCAGGGGCCCAGGUUCAAUCCCUGGUCAGGGAA
Molecule: transfer RNA, 72 nt
Filed under: Bos taurus (domestic cattle)
Lineage: Eukaryota; Metazoa; Chordata; Mammalia; Artiodactyla; Bovidae
Also listed under: 5 other names
Rfam family: tRNA
About the family: Transfer RNA (tRNA) molecules are approximately 80 nucleotides in length.
Source: Rfam by way of RNAcentral